This is a non-coding RNA of Canis lupus familiaris (dog), 328 nucleotides long. The record is from Rfam. NCBI's taxonomy places the organism in Eukaryota, Metazoa, Chordata, Mammalia, Carnivora, Canidae.
GGAUGUGAGUGCAAUCUGGCUGUGACGGCUGUCACCUCAUUGAUCAGGGUUGAUUUAGCUGAUCUGGCUGCCUAGGCGGGUGUCCCCUCCAUCCCUCACCACUCCAUAUGUGUGCCUCCUGAAGCUGCACACUUGGUUGAAGAGGAUGACCUGCCCCAAUGGAGGAGGACCGUUCUUUGGUCAAGGGUAUACAAGUAGCUGUAUGUCCCUGCUAGAACCUCCAGACAAGCUCUCAGGGUCCAUUUGUAGGAGAACAUAGGGUAGUCAAGGUUCCAAGACUUCAGACACAUUCAAAUGCAGCCCUGCAUGUGACCAUUUGCCUUUCUUA